This 400-nucleotide unclassified non-coding RNA is filed under the name fungal sp. Its description in RNAcentral is "partial internal transcribed spacer region". The stretch from base 1 to 46 matches the Rfam family "Eukaryotic small subunit ribosomal RNA", at positions 1786 to 1831 of the family's 1831-position model. The record is from RNAcentral. Lineage: Eukaryota; Fungi.
AAGUCGUAACAAGGUUUCCGUAGGUGAACCUGCGGAAGGAUCAUUAACACGUAUCCAACGUUAAACCCCCCUGUGAACUUUUAUACUUGCUCUCUUAACUGAUGGAAUUGCAAUCCCUGGUAAAUCAUUGUUAAACAGAUUUUGAUUCAGGGACCUCAGUUUGGCAGUUAGGAUUGAGCGAUCGUUGCAAGUGGCCUGGUUUCCCCAAGCAGUCAGUGUCUGAAAGUGGCAUUGAUUGUGUAAGGAAAACGCUUUACGAUCGCUGGAGGCCGAACACCGGCCGGUGACCGGGCUGCUGUGGCUUUAUGCCCCCUAUAUUUACCCCACUACCUUAACUCGGGUCGCAGGAAACUGCUUCCCAUCAACCGAACAACUGUUAACAAUGGAUAUCUUGGUUCUC